CCCUGCCCUUUGUACACACCGCCCGUCGCUACUACCGAUUGAAUGAUUUAGUGAGGUCUUCGGACCGGUGCGCGGGAUCUGCUUCGCGCAGUUUCCGAUGUGUCUGGAAAGAUGACCAAACUUGAUUAUUUAGAGGAAGUAAAAGUCGUAACAAGGUUUCCGUAGGUGAACCUGCGGAAGGAUCAUUACCGAAUUGUUUUAUCAAAAAACAUUUCGAGAAGGAGGAGUCGGGCCGCCUUGCGGUCCGCUCCUUCGGCGAGGCUCCUCCCUGGAGGGGCGAGACUCCUGCCGAGCCCGCUGUUGCGAGCUCCGGCGAGUCCCAUGCUCUGUACGCGGCGGCCCUGUCCGUCGCCGACAGCGGGAGUGUCGCGGUCCGCGUGGCCGCGUCUCCUACGAUGCAAACGUUCGGCAUUGGGUACCUACCUCCCUCGCUCAGUGGAGCGGGGAUAACACGAGGGGACCCGUCGCGGCGGCUUCGGCCGGCGGACGGGCAGGUUUUAAAUGAACGUGACGCCCAUGCUCGAAACACUUCUUAGCUACGUGACGAGAAACCCGCACUAAUGAUUGUUUUUUCUCCGCGGAGAGAAACGAUCGAAAAUGACAAAAAACAACCCUGAACGGUGGAUCACUCGGCUCGUGGGUCGAUGAAGAACGCAGCAAAUUGCGCGUCGACAUGUGAACUGCAGGAUACAUGAACAUCGACAUUUCGAACGCACAUUGCGGUCCAUGGAUUCCGUUCCCGGACCACGCCUGGCUGAGGGUCGGUUGCUAAAACUGAACGCGACAUUGCGUUCGAACGCUGGGAGCGUCGCGGUUCGUGCGGCCUCGGCCGCCGCCGCGUCUCCUGAAAGGAGCCUCCACCCCGGUGGAGCAGCUGGACCGGUCAACACCACCGCUGAGAGCGCGUGUGUGUCGGGAGGGUUGGUCCGCGCAGCGUCUUUGUGUAUGCUGGCGCCGGUUCGCCGCCCUCUCCGCGCCACAAGAUCGAAAGCGCGCGUGUGUGUUUGACGACCGAAAAUGCAAACCAAAACACGACCUCAGAGC
Molecule: ribosomal RNA, 1044 nt
Filed under: Gampsocleis gratiosa (Chinese bush cricket)
Lineage: Eukaryota; Metazoa; Arthropoda; Insecta; Orthoptera; Tettigoniidae
Description: eukaryotic LSU rRNA
Rfam family: Eukaryotic small subunit ribosomal RNA (bases 1-188)
Source: RNAcentral